Molecule: transfer RNA, 540 nt
Filed under: uncultured Prochlorococcus sp.
Lineage: Bacteria; Bacillati; Cyanobacteriota; Cyanophyceae; Synechococcales; Prochlorococcaceae
Description: partial 16S-23S ribosomal RNA intergenic spacer
Rfam family: tRNA (bases 212-284)
Source: RNAcentral
CAGGGAGACAACAAAAUGUUUAAUAUUAUUAUUUUGUCACCUUAGGUCGAUCGGUAUCUCACGUUCUUAAUUUAUUAAGAAUUUCAUUUCCUAAGUUUUUCUAGGUCACACCCAUUAUUUUUCCUGGGCCAUUAGCUCAGGUGGUUAGAGCGCACCCCUGAUAAGGGUGAGGUCCCUGGUUCAAGUCCAGGAUGGCCCAUAUCUCUAUGUUGGGGGUAUAGCUCAGUUGGUAGAGCGCCUGCUUUGCAAGCAGGAUGUCAGCGGUUCGAGUCCGCUUACCUCCACUGAUUACCACCUCUUCCAUAACUGGUAAAAAGGAAAUGUUUUGAGUUGUGAUCAAAUUCUGAAAGAAUCUAGCUUCCUAAUGUAAUCAUUAAGAUGCUGGACUCAUUGAUUAAUUUCAUUGUUUUCAGAGAACCUUGACAACUGCAUAGAUUAUUUUUAAAGACAAUAAGCAUCUUUAAUGAUGCAGAUUUAUUAUUUGUGCGAAUGCAUUAAUAACAAUUCUAUUAAGCUGAUGCUUCAAUUUUUGAAGUUAUU